CCUGGGUGGGGUCUCUGGGCUCCCGCCGCCCGGAGGUUGGGUUGCUGAUUCCCCGGAAGGUUCCUUCCCGCUCGCCCUCCCCGCCCCCGGGAUGGCAGUCCCGUCCCCGGCCACGCGCGGGACCCUGGGCAGCCGGGCCUCUGGGCAGCGGCACGCGGAGUCUGGCUUGCAUCUCCAGACAGACAGAAAUGUUCCCUCCUCCCCCCCGCCCGGCUGUCCGCCCGACUCUAUCGACUGUAUCUGCUUGUUUCCUGUAUUCCGGACUCUGGGGGCCUUGGUUCUGGACAGACUGCCCCAACCCCCCGGCCCUCCAGUCCCUGGAGCCGGCUAAGACGCCCCUGUGAACACCUCUGAUUACAAGUCAGUCCAUCCAGAGCCCGCGCCCACCCGUUCACCAUCGCACCUCAGACACCAAGCCAGGUCCCGGACAGGAGGGCCUGCCCUCCCUGCGCCAGGCUGCUGAGUUUGUCCCCACGAUGCCACGCUAAACUCACCCUCUCCCUCCUGUGAACGCCCCAAUCAGACCAGAACCCUGGGCCACGCUCCCUGGGCUCCCGAGUCUGCCUCCAGCCCGCACUGGGCCUUCCCUGUGGGGCCCUGCAGGGCACGGUUACCCCUUCUCCUGGGACGUGCAAGUGGUCAACCCCUGAGCCAUGCCAGCGCCCGGGCUUGGGGACACGUUCUGGAACACAGAUGCUGUGCUGCUGCUUCGGCGGUGGAGGAAGGGCCACCGUGCGGGAACGCAGGUGCUGGACGAGGCGGGCAGCUGGCCUCUGGGGGACUUGGUCCUCCCCACACCGGACACACACAGAGGCAGGUGCUGUCCUAGACCCGGCCCCCAACGUCAGGGCCCUAAGACGGGGUGGCCCUGGGCACCUCAGGGACACAGCAGGCCCGCACAGUGGCGUGGACUCCCAAAGGGCCACAUGGUUUUGUAAAAGUUGCUAAACUAAGAUACCGUGCCCCCGGAGGUCCCCACACGAUCGACCUCACGUUCCCUCUGCCACGCUUCCCCUCUUGUUGGGGUGGCGCUGGGGAGGCGGGGUGCCUUCGGGACCUGACGGAGGGGAGUCGAGCUGUGGGAACAGUGGCCGGGUUGGCUGAAUGUGUCCUCUGUGUCACUUGCAGUCCCUUCUCUGCAUAGCGAGGUUAGCGCCCGACACGCCGGCAGAAACAGCGUCCGGAACACCCGGGGCAGUUAACCGCGGGGAA
Long non-coding RNA from Eptesicus fuscus (big brown bat), 1212 nucleotides. RefSeq lists it as uncharacterized. The record is from RefSeq and is a predicted model, not a curated record. NCBI's taxonomy places the organism in Eukaryota, Metazoa, Chordata, Mammalia, Chiroptera, Vespertilionidae. The transcript is spliced from 3 exons.